AAAGGGAGACCUAAUUCAGGUAUGGGACGAAAAAAAAGUAGUCGCUACCAAGAAUCAAUCCCAAAAGGUCGGAGCGAGGUAUGAGGCUUUCAAACUAGGUUCUGGGUUCAAACAAGACCUGAAUCAGGAACAAGGGCUAUUAGCUCAGGUGGUUAGAGCGCACCCCUGAUAAGGGUGAGGUCCCUGGUUCGAGUCCAGGAUGGCCCACCUGUACAGGUGGCAAAAAGAAAGAAAAGAAGCGAGGAAUCAGCACCUUAUCUUACUUAUAUAGUAAGAGAGAAUGCUGGCUCUGAGUUCAGAGUCCAGAGGAACCUUGAAAACUGCAUAGAGCUAGGUGAAAAAGCCAAAAAAGAAGACCGCAAG
Molecule: transfer RNA, 363 nt
Filed under: uncultured Microcystis sp.
Lineage: Bacteria; Bacillati; Cyanobacteriota; Cyanophyceae; Chroococcales; Microcystaceae
Description: partial 16S-23S ribosomal RNA intergenic spacer
Rfam family: tRNA (bases 134-207)
Source: RNAcentral